GUGAAGGGCCUGGAACACAAGUCCUGUGAGGAGUGGCUGAGGGAACUCAGAUUUUUUGGUCUGGAGAAGAGGAGGCUCAGGGGAGACCUUAUUCCUCUCUACAGCUACCUGGAAGAGUGGGGGGCCUGGAGGUUGUCCUCUUCUCACAGGUAACUAGUGAAAGGACUAGAGGAAAUGGCCUCAAGUUGUGCCAGGGGAGGUUUAGGUUGGAAAUGAAGAGCCAUUUCUUCUCAGAAAGAGCAGUCAGGCAUUGGAACGGUUUGCCCAGGGAGGUGGUGGAAUCAUCAUCCCUGGGGGUAUGAAACCAUAUUUAUUUUUCUUUUUUAUUUUCUUCUUUAUUUCUUUGUUUCUUUUUUUUUUUUUUUUUUUUUGAGAAAAUGAUAAAGUCACCAGCAGAUAGGCAGAACAAAGGCAGGACCUUCUAGGUCCUUACUGGGUGUUGGAGCACUAUCCCUGUUCCUUCCCACUAGCAAGCCCUCUGGCUGUGUUGGUCCCAGGCCUCACAUAAACUGACCAUUUUUGAUACAUGCAUAGAAGAAUCUCUUGCAACAAAUCAAUAUACAGAUAAAGUGUUCAUAUGUGCAUAACUACUGUAGUGUCAAUUCUCCUUUUAGUUUUUAUGCUGUAUUAUGAUGUGUCAACAAAUACAGGUUAUACAAGAAUUCUGAGCUCCGAGGCUGCAGUGUACAGUGCUGUAUUGCUAAACUUAUAGUUAUUUUUCCCUUAUUAAGCUUUCCUAGGAAGCAGCUAGCUGAUUUAUUGACAGCAAAGUGUCAGAAAAAGGUAACCUCCUCCUCCAGUGUGUCCUCCCUGAUGUUCCUUUUUCAUGAACUGUUAUCAAACCUAAUAGAACUGCAACAUGGAUGGAAUUUACUAUUAGAAAAGGAAGUGCCUGUACAAUGAGUUUGAAAUAAACAAUUAAUCAUUCAGUCAGUCUUGUGUGAAGCCAGGAGCUGGACUUGAUGAUGCUGACCAAAACAGUUCCUAAAACCAUUACCACCCACUUCUGUUUGCUCUGGAUGGGAGGGAAAGUGAAUCCCACUGAAGAGAAGAUUAUGCUGAAGAUGAUGUCUUCGCUGAAGAGUAAUUACUUUAAAUUGUGAGAGGGGAAUUACCAGGAAAGGUUAGCUGUGCUCCAAGAAAGUCUUCUGUCUGUUCCAGACUUAAGCUCUAAAAGCAAGAGUACAAAUUGUGCUUUGCACUGUGAAAGAAAGUAGCCUUGAAUGAAACACCACCUCAAUAACAUAAAAAAAAAACAACACAAACAGAAUAUAAAAAAAUGUACUUUCAUUAAAAAAUCUUUGUGCUUUCCUGUAAAAUUCCAUAUUUAAUGUAAAAAUCACAAAGAACUUAAAAAUAUAUAUUUUUUGCAUAUGUUGAUCUGUGCAUAUGUUAAGAUCAAUACCAAUCUGAUGUCUAGAUAUUAAUAUGGUUGUCAGACAAGCCCUUUACAAUUUAGCUAGUGCUUUUGAACAAAUGACCAGGGAGCUCAACUUUCAGGAGAAUUAAGCAUUCAUUCUUCUGCAGAAGUCCCCAAACUCUCAAGUACUCCAUAAUUAUUUAGAAAUUUUUCUUAAUGAAAUAGAGUGAAUAACCUUGAAAACAUACAAAAAAGGAAAAUAUAGAAAUUAAAUAAUAAAACACUUAGUCUAGAUUGUUUUGUAAUUGUC
This 1670-nucleotide long non-coding RNA is filed under the name Anas platyrhynchos platyrhynchos (common mallard). Its description in RNAcentral is "lncRNA (ENSAPLG00000017423.1)". The record is from RNAcentral. Lineage: Eukaryota; Metazoa; Chordata; Aves; Anseriformes; Anatidae.